Molecule: microRNA precursor, 97 nt
Filed under: Gorilla gorilla gorilla (western lowland gorilla)
Lineage: Eukaryota; Metazoa; Chordata; Mammalia; Primates; Hominidae
Description: miRNA (ENSGGOG00000039749.1)
Source: RNAcentral
CUGGGAUUACAGGCGUGAGCCACCGCGCCCGGCCAAUCCUGGUAGUCUUUAAGAGAGACCACUGGCCAGGAGCGGUGGCUCACGCCUGUAAUCCCAG